RNAcentral lists this ribosomal RNA (467 nucleotides) under uncultured bacterium. RNAcentral describes it as "partial 16S ribosomal RNA". It matches the Rfam family "Bacterial small subunit ribosomal RNA", at positions 28 to 507 of the family's 1533-position model. The record is from RNAcentral.
GACGAACGCUGGCGGCGUGCUUAACACAUGCAAGUCGAACGGAAAGGCUCCAGCUUGCUGGAGUACUCGAGUGGCGAACGGGUGAGUAACACGUGGGUAAUCUGCCCUGCACUCUGGGAUAAGCCUGGGAAACUGGGUCUAAUACUGGAUAUGACCUUUCUCCUUAUGGGGUUUGGUGGAAAGUUUUUCGGUGUAGGAUGAGCCCGCGGCCUAUCAGCUUGUUGGUGGGGUGAUGGCCUACCAAGGCGACGACGGGUAGCCGGCCUGAGAGGGUGAUCGGCCACAUUGGGACUGAGAUACGGCCCAGACUCCUACGGGAGGCAGCAGUGGGGAAUAUUGCACAAUGGGCGGAAGCCUGAUGCAGCGACGCCGCGUGAGGGAUGACUGCCUUCGGGUUGUAAACCUCUUUCAGCAGGGACGAAGCGUAAGUGACGGUACCUGCAGAAGAAGCACCGGCUAACUAUGUG